Molecule: RNA transcript, 2644 nt
Organism: Phalaenopsis equestris
Lineage: Eukaryota; Viridiplantae; Streptophyta; Magnoliopsida; Asparagales; Orchidaceae
Gene name: phosphoacetylglucosamine mutase
Exons: 12
Source: RefSeq, a predicted model, not a curated record
AAUUACAUAACGAAACCUGCCCUCCCCUCGCCUGCCUGUUACUCUCCCCGUUUCGCCGAAAACCGCCGCCUACCUUCCCCUUCCUCCGAAACCCUAGCGAUACAGUGGCGACUAGAGCUAGCUGGGAAGGCAGCGACGGGAUUGUGGUGUUCAAAGACCUCCGCAACUCUUAUCUUUCUCCUCCUUCCGCUCCGCUCCUACCCGAAAUCAGUCAGAGGAUAUUGCUCAACGCUUGGUUGAAAAAUCUUGAAGGAAUCGAAAUUAAGCGAAGCUCUUUCACAGAAGACUGCAGGUGAAAAAGGAUGAUAGUCAACAACUUCAACUCACUCUCAAAUACAACCAAGGACAAUACAAAUUUCACUUUCAUUAAUUCCAAGCUCUCCCUAUUGAGUCUACAAUGGAGGAGCAACUCUCUCUACUUCUUGAUUCAGCUUCUCUUUUCCCUCUGCCACAUGGGUUGAAGUUCUCUUAUGGUACAUCAGGAUUUAGGGCAGAGGGGUCGAAGCUGUCAUCCACAGUGUUCCGAGUUGGUGUUGUGGCCGCACUAAGAUCCCUGAAAACUGGCCAUGCUGUUGGUCUUAUGAUCACCGCCUCCCAUAACCCCGUCACAGAUAAUGGUAUAAAGAUUGCCGAUCCUGAUGGCGUUAUGAUGACUCAGGAUUGGGAGCCCUUCGCUGAGGCUCUUGCUAACGCCCCAGAUCCUCAAAUUUUUGUUGAGUUGGUUCUUAAUUUUGUCAAGGAAGAGAAUAUCCCAUUAGACGGCGAAAGGUCUGCAGAGAUCUUGUUGGGAAGAGACACUAGACCUACUGGUGAAGCUCUCCUUCAAGCUGCUAAAAUGGGAAUUAAAAGCAUCAUUGGUUCUGUUGCACUCGAUAUGGGGAUAGUAACAACUCCUCAACUUCAUUGGAUGGUUCGGAGAAAGAAUAUGGGAAUGAAGGCAACUGAGUCUGAUUACUUCAUGCAGCUCUCAGACUCUUUUAGGAUCCUGAUGGAUAUGAUCCCUAACAAUAAAAUAAUGAAUGAGACUGUAAGUUCUCAGCUUAUAGUAGAUGGAGCCAAUGGUGUUGGUGGAGACAAGCUUCAGAAACUUAAAGAAUUGUUGUCGGGCCUUGAAAUCGAGGUGAGAAACACUAGCGAACAGGGAGAAGGUAUACUGAAUGAUGGGGUUGGUGCUGAUUUUGUUCAAAAAGAGAAGCUCGCUCCUCGAUGCUUUGGUCAUAAUGAUCUUGGACUAAGGUGUGCUAGUUUUGAUGGGGAUGCUGAUAGGUUCGUGUAUUUUUGUAUCUCGAAAAUAAGUAGCUGCAAUAUUGAUCUUGUAGAUGGAGACAAGAUAUUAUCUAUUUUUGCAUUAUUCAUCAAGGAACAGCUGCAUUGUUUGAACAAAAGUGAAACUGAGGGCUUAAUUAAUGUAAUACCUGCGAAGGUUGGCGUUGUACAGACAGCUUAUGCUAAUGGCGCAUCUACUGAUUUCCUCAAACAACUUGGUCUGGAAGUUGUUCUUACUCCUACUGGCGUGAAAUAUCUACAUAAGAAGGCUGCAGAAUAUGAUAUAGGGAUCUAUUUUGAGGCAAAUGGACAUGGGACUAUUUUAUUUUCAGAAGAUUUUUUAUCUAAAUUAGAGAAAAAGAGCAAUGACUUGGCGUCUUCGAAUGCAGGUUCAGAGCCUCAUAGAGCUGCUUUAAGAUUGUUGGCUGUGAGCAAGUUAAUCAAUCAGGCAGCGGGUGAUGCUCUUAGCGGGCUUCUUUUUGUGGAGGUUGUGCUGAAAUAUAUGCGGUGGUCAUUGCAGAACUGGAUUGAACUCUAUGAUGAUCUUCCAAGUAGACAGUUAAAGGUAAAGGUUGCAGAUAGAACUGCUGUCAUCACAACAAACACAGAAACACGAGUUUUGCAGCCCUCUGGUUUACAGGAAGCAAUUGAUAAUGAAACUGCGAAGUAUCGUCGAGGACGUUGUUUUGUUCGGCCGUCCGGUACGGAGGAUAUAAUACGUGUAUACGCUGAGGCAUUUUCACAGGAAGCAGCUGAUUCUCUUGCUGCGGCUGCUGCACAUCAUGUUGAUCGCUUUGCUGGAUUCAGAAACUGACAGCAUUUGACUUGAAUAUAGGGGCACGGUCACAGUUUGGAUGGAGCUUUUUGUUGGGACAUCCGAGUUGUGCAAAUUCAAGCUCGAAUGGGCUUGAAUUGGUUUAUCUGUUCGGCGUGAGUUGAACUGGCUUGGGUGGCCUGUGUUUCAUGUGCUUGGGAGAAAAUGGGCAUCAAUGCAGAGUAGAUUUAACUUUAACUUGGGCAACGUGUAGGCAAUGGUACAUGCUCAUUAUUGUGCUCUUCAUUUGAGGUAAUUUGAGAUUUUGAAGAAGUGCUUUUAAUACUCGAUAAUUUUGUGAGUAGUGCAUUGAGAGAAGUUAAUACUUGGUAACUUUUUGAGUUAGAGUUUUUCCGUGUAAAAAUGAUGGAAUAUUAUCCCCCUUUUACAGCGAUCCCAAUCAACACAUAUGAUGAAUGAUAUGAUGAAUCUUCUCAUAAUUAUUCUUUUAAUCUAAUUGUUGAAAUUUAAACCUGUCACUGUUAACACUUUCAUGAGAUCAUUAUCGACAACUUGUAUAUUCUAAUCGUGAUCAAAGGCAUCACCAGUGGCGGCCACUACUAG